GUUUGGUAAUACUGCGGCGUAAACUGCCGAACCGUGUCAGGAUGGAAACAUAGCAGCGCUAAGGCAAUCUUUACGGGUGUAGUGUUUUCCAAAAACA
Molecule: signal recognition particle RNA, 97 nt
Filed under: Heliobacteriaceae bacterium
Lineage: Bacteria; Bacillati; Bacillota; Clostridia; Eubacteriales; Heliobacteriaceae
Description: signal recognition particle sRNA small type
Rfam family: Bacterial small signal recognition particle RNA
About the family: The signal recognition particle (SRP) is a universally conserved ribonucleoprotein involved in the co-translational targeting of proteins to membranes. Archaeal SRP consists of a 7S RNA and homologues of the eukaryotic SRP19 and SRP54 proteins. In most bacteria, the SRP consists of a 4.5S RNA and the Ffh protein (a homologue of the eukaryotic SRP54 protein).
Source: RNAcentral